RNAcentral lists this ribosomal RNA (528 nucleotides) under uncultured Pseudomonas sp. RNAcentral describes it as "bacterial SSU rRNA". It matches the Rfam family "Bacterial small subunit ribosomal RNA", at positions 46 to 568 of the family's 1533-position model. Lineage: Bacteria; Pseudomonadati; Pseudomonadota; Gammaproteobacteria; Pseudomonadales; Pseudomonadaceae. The record is from RNAcentral.
GCCUAACACAUGCAAGUCGAGCGGUAGAGAGAAGCUUGCUUCUCUUGAGAGCGGCGGACGGGUGAGUAAUGCCUAGGAAUCUGCCUGGUAGUGGGGGAUAACGUUCGGAAACGGAUGCUAAUACCGCAUACGUCCUACGGGAGAAAGCAGGGGACCUUCGGGCCUUGCGCUAUCAGAUGAGCCUAGGUCGGAUUAGCUAGUUGGUGAGGUAAUGGCUCACCAAGGCGACGAUCCGUAACUGGUCUGAGAGGAUGAUCAGUCACACUGGAACUGAGACACGGUCCAGACUCCUACGGGAGGCAGCAGUGGGGAAUAUUGGACAAUGGGCGAAAGCCUGAUCCAGCCAUGCCGCGUGUGUGAAGAAGGUCUUCGGAUUGUAAAGCACUUUAAGUUGGGAGGAAGGGCAGUUACCUAAUACGUGAUUGUUUUGACGUUACCGACAGAAUAAGCACCGGCUAACUCUGUGCCAGCAGCCCGCGGUAAUACAGAGGGUGCAAGCGUUAAUCGGAAUUACUGGGCGUAAAGCGC